AUGGAGUUCUCUAUCUCUGCUACUGUGACCUCCCUGGCCGAUGGCAAAACCUGGCUGGUCACUUCGGUCUAUGGACCGCAAGAGGAUGGAGAGAAGGUGCGGUUCCUGGAGGAGAUUGAGCAACACGGUGAGCAGGUGCAGCUCCCUUGGAUUCUAAAUGGUGACUUCAACAUAGUCACGCGUGAGGAUGAGAGCAGUUCAGGGAGAGCUAACAGAAGGCUGAUGAAUAAGUUCAGACACACAAUCAACAAGCUGGGUUUGCAUGACAUGCCUCUGGCGGGUAGGAAAUUCACUUGGUGUAAUGGGCAGGAAAGAACCAUUAUGGCCAAAUUGGACAGAGUUCUG
Molecule: ribosomal RNA, 345 nt
Filed under: Triticum aestivum (bread wheat)
Lineage: Eukaryota; Viridiplantae; Streptophyta; Magnoliopsida; Poales; Poaceae
Description: partial small subunit ribosomal RNA
Source: RNAcentral